UACGGAGGAUGCAAGCGUUAUCCGGAUUUAUUUGGUUUAAAGGGUGCGCAGGUUGUUUGAUAAGUCAGUGGUGAAAGUCUGUCGCUUAACGGUAGGAUUGCCAUUGAUACUGUUGGACUUGAAUAUGGAUGAGGUAGGCGGAAUGUGUAGUGUAGCGGUGAAAUGCAUAGAUAUUACACAGAACACCGAUUGCGAAGGCAGCUUACUAAUCCAUCAUUGUCGCUGAGGCACGAAAGCGUGGGGAUCAAACAGGA
This 254-nucleotide ribosomal RNA is filed under the name uncultured prokaryote. RNAcentral's name for it is "partial 16S ribosomal RNA". It matches the Rfam family "Bacterial small subunit ribosomal RNA", at positions 524 to 777 of the family's 1533-position model. The record is from RNAcentral.